Molecule: long non-coding RNA, 5222 nt
Organism: Salvelinus fontinalis (brook trout)
Lineage: Eukaryota; Metazoa; Chordata; Actinopteri; Salmoniformes; Salmonidae
Exons: 3
Source: RefSeq, a predicted model, not a curated record
AGGUCAAAUGUAACUGGCUGUUCUCAGCUCCUUUAAAUGUAACAUAAAGAAAACCACUGUGGCAAGCAACUACAAACCGUUUUAUGAGACUCCUGAGUCAGUCCUAUCUGAAUGCCACUGACUGUGUGGGCUUUUAUUUAAGAUAUAUAAGUGCUUAUGGUCAGUGUUCUGAUUCAGACUGCUUAGAAUGCAACCACUUGUUCAUUUCCUGGAGAGCUUGUAAGUGGCCCUCUCACCCCCCACAGAUAACAGCUCGUCCUGGGAAACAAAAACAGAACAAUGUUCCUUUUGUCCUUCAGGCCCCAGACAUUGAGUUUACUGUAAGUUUCUUCAGAAGAAAACAUUAAUCCUCCAGAAAGUUGGAGCCAAGGAGAACCAAGGAGCACAGUCAGCCUUAAAUCCAACAUUCAGGCCUCUUUUAUUUAUUUAUUAAAAUUUGAUUUAACCUUUAUUUAACUCUUGGCUAAUGCCUCUGUGGAUAGAGCCAUUCAAUGGCUGAUUCAGAGAGAUAGCAUCAUCAUUGGUAUAAGAAUCACUAUCUAGGGGAUUAGCACUUUAUAAUGGACAUAUAAUAGCCACAAUUUCUGUAGAUUGUCUCUGGUAUAAAAAGCAAUAAGUUCAAAUUGAAAAUCCCUUGCAUCCUUAGGUAUGACAGAUUUGGGGAUUCCAUGUCUGCAAUUUCAGCUGGAUCUGCUGUCUCAGCUACUGAGGAGAGGCAACGAUGGGGAGAUUGAUUACAGGGACAUGCGCAACCAACUACAGAGAGUAAGGUAAAGCAAAAUCAGCAUUCUAUUCAAAUCAAAUCAAAUUGUAUUUGUCACAUGCGCCGAAUACAACAGGUGUAGUCAUUACAGUGAAAUGCUUACUUACAAGCCCUAACCAACAAUGCAGUUAAAUAAAAGUAAUAAAUAAUUAAAGAGCAGCAGUAAAAUAACAAUAGCGAGGCUAUAUACAGGGGUGCUGGUACAGAGUCAAUGUGUGGGGGCACCGGUUAGUCGGGGUAAUUGAGGUAAUAUGUACAUGUAGGUAGAGUUAUUAAAGUGACUAUACAUAGAUACGUAAUAACAGAGAGUAGCAGCAGUGUGAAAGGGGGGAGGGCAAUGCAAAUAGUCUGGGUAGCCAUUUGAUUAGAUGUUCAGGAGUCUUAUGGCUUGGAGGCAGAAGCUGUUUAGAAGCCUCUUGGACCUAGACUUUGCAGUUCAGUACAGCUUGCCAUGCGGUGGCAGAGAGAACAGUCUAUGACUAGGAUGGUUGGAGUCUUUGACAAUUUUUAGGGCCUUCCUCUGAUAUCGCCUGGUAUAGAGGUCCUGGAUGGCAGGAAGCUUGGCCCCAGUGAUGUACAGGGCCGUACGCACUAUCCUCUGUAGUGCCUUGCGGUCGGAGUCCGAGCAGUUGCCAUGCCAGGCAGUGAUGCAACCCGUCAGGAUGCUCUCGACGGUGCAUCUCUAAAACCUUUUGAGGAUCUGAGGACCCAUGCCAAAUCUUUUCAGUCUCCUGAGAAGGAAAGGUUUUGUCGUGCCCUCUUCACGACUGUCUUGGUGUGCUUGGACCAUGUUCGUUUGUUGGUGAUGUGGACACCAAGGAACUUGAAGCUCUCAACCUGCUCCAGCACCGUUGAUGAGAAUGGGGGCGUGCCCGGUCCUCCUGUUCCUGUAGUCCACAAUCAUCUCCUUUGUUUUGAUCACGUUGAGGGAGAGGUUGUUGUCCUGGCACCACAUGGCCAGGUCUCUGACCUCCUCCCUAUAGGCUGUCUCGUCAUUGUCGGUGAUCAGGCCUACUGUUGUGCUGUUGUGUCAUAUGCAAACUUAAUGAUGGUGUUGGAGUCGUGCCUGGCCUUGCAGUCAUGAGUGAACAGGGAGUACAGGAGGGGACUGAGCACGCACACCUGAGGGGUCCCCAUGUUGAGGAUCAGAGUGGUGGAUGUGUUGUUACCUACCCUUAGCACCUGGGAGCGACCCGUCAGGAAGUACAGGAUCCAGUUGCAGAAGGAUAUGUACAGUCCCAGGGUCCUUAGCUUAGUGAUGAGCUUUGAGAGCACUGUGGUGUUAAACUCUGAGCUGUAGUCAAUGAAGCAUUCUCACAGCAUUCUCACAUAGGUGUUCCUUUUGUCCAGGUGGGAAAGGGCAGUGUGGAGUGCAAUAGAGAUUGCAUCGUCUGUGGAUCUGUUAGGGGGGUAUGCAAAUUGGAGUGGGUCUAAAGUUUCUGGGAUAAUGGUGUUGAUGUGAGCCAUGACCAGCCUUUCAAAGCAGUUCAUGGCUACAGACGUGAGUGCUACUGGUCGGUAGUCAUUUAGGCAGGUUACCUUAGUGUUCUUUGGCACAGGGACUAUGGUGGUCUGCUUAAAACAUGUUGGUAUUACAGACUCAGACAGGGAGAGGUUGAAAAUGCCAGUGAAGACACUUGCCAGUUGGUCAGCGCAUGCUCGGAGUAAACGUCCUGGUAAUACGUCUGGCCCUGCGGCCUUGUGAAUGUUGACCUGCUUAAAGGUCUUACUCACAUCGGCUGCGGAGAGCGUGAUCACACAGUCAUCCGGUGUAGCUGAUGCUCUCUUGCGUGUUUCAGUGUUACUUGCCUUGAAGCGAGCAUAGAAGUAAUUUAGCUCGACUGGUAGGCUUGUGUUACUGGGAAGCUCUUAGCUGUGCUUCUCUUGGUAGUCUGUAAUAGUUUGCAAGCCCUGCCACAUCCGCCGAGCAUCGGAGCCGGUGUAGUACGAUUCGAUCUUAGUCCUGUAUUGACACUUUGCCUGUUUGAUGUUUCGUUGGAGGGCAUAGUGAGAUUUCUCAUAAGCUUCCGGGUUAAAGUCCCGCUCUUUGAAAGUGGCAGCUCUACCUAUUAGCUCAGUGCGGAUGUUGCCUGUAAUCCAUGGCUUCUGGUUGGGGUAUGUACGUACAGUCACUGUGGGAACGACAUCAUCGAUGCACUUAUUGAUGAAGCCGGUGACUGAUGGGGUGCACUCCUCAAUGCCAUCGGAAAAAUUCCGGAACAUAUUCCAGUCUGUGCUAGCAAGCAAGUCCUGUAGCUUAGCAUCUGCUUCAUCUGACCACUUUUUUAUUGACCGAGUCACUGGUGCUUCAUGCUUUAAUUUGUGCUUCUAAGCAGGAAUCAGGAGGAUAGAAUUAUGGUCAGAUUUGCCAAAUGGAGGGCGAGGGAGAGCUUUGUACAUGUCUCUGUGUGUGGAGUACAGAUGGUCUAGAGUUAUUUUUCCUCUGGUUGCACAUUUAACAUACUGGUGGAAAUUUGGUAAAACUGAUUUAAGUUUCCCUACAUUAAAGUCUCCGGCCACUAGGAGCGCCACCUCUGGAUGUGCAUUUUCCUGUUUGCUUAUCGCAGUAUACAGCUCAUUGCGUGUGGUCUUAGUGCCAGUAUCGGUCUGUGGUGGUAUGUAGACAGCUAUGAAAAAUACAGAUGAAAACUCUCUCGGUAGAUAGUGUGGUCUACAGCUUAUCAUCAGAUACUCUACCUCAGGCAAACAAAACCUUGAGACUUCCUUAGAUAUCGUGCACCAGCUGUUGUUUACAAAUAUACAUAGACCGCCACCCCUUGUCUUACCAGAGGCUGCUGUUCUAUUCUGCCGAUACAGUGUAAAACCCGCCAGCUGUAUGAUGUUCAUGUCGUCGUUCAGGCACGGUGAAACAUAAGAUAUUACAGUUUUUAAUGUCCCGUUGGUAGUUUAAUCUUGCUCGUAGGUCAUCGAUUUUAUUUUCCAAUGAUUGCAUGUUUGCCAAUAGAACGGAUGGCAGUGGGGUUUGACUUGCUCACCUACGAAUUCUCUGAAGGCAGCCCGACCUCCGCCCCCUUUUUCUCUGUCUUCUCUUCAUGCAAAUGACGGAGAUUUGGGCCUGUUCCCUGGAAAGCAGUAUAUCCUUCACGUCGGACUCGUUGGACUCGUUAAAGGAAAAAGCUACUACCAGUUCGUGAGUGGAGGGUAAGGAUGAGAGAGAAGAGAAUGAUGUUCCCUGCUGUUUGGAGAUCACUAGAGAGAAGCUACAGCCCAGUCCUAACUGUCAGCUAGGAUUGUGGAGCCCACCACCACCUGAGACAAACAGGUUUAUUCUUCUGAGUAUCAGACUUAUACCAUUUGACUACGGAGGAGUCCAUCCAGGGAGCUUUGAGGUGGUGCUUCCCAGGAGCACCAGGGUGUCCAGCCUGUUCAGGGUGAUCGAGGAGCGGGUUGGGAUCCAGACCACCAGCCUGCAGGUGUUCAGAACCAGAGUUCCCUCCCAGGAGUCCUUCCUACCGCCAGACAGCUCUCUGGGGCAGUGUGGCUUCACUGGAGGCCCUGAGGACUCACCCAGACAGGCAACACUGUUCUAUGACUACAGGCUGGAGUUAACUGACUGCCCCAUCCUCAACUGUGACCACUACUUUGGUUCUAAGCAACCUCAGAUUGGGGAGGACUACUUUGCAUCAAGGCCUGUCUAGGUGACCUGUAUAACUUAUAGCAUCAGCUGUGUAAUUUACUAUAUCAGCACUUUUUUGAUGUACAGAUUUCUCUUUGUGUGACUAGCACCAUGAAGCAAUUACAGUUGAUAAUUGGCUGUGUUUAGCUAAUUAUUAAAUCUGAUAAUUAAAAGUGUAUUAAUGUCAGCGUUAUACCAGGGGAGAAAAUGGAUGACUUGGGCAGAACACUCCUUACAAUCAGCAGCUUCUGACAUAGUUUCGUGUUUACCUGCAAGCAUGAAGUAUGCAAAGUGUGAGAUUGCCUUUUUAAUGCCAAAACAACCAUUUUCCUAUAGGCCUCAGGGCACAGUGGAGAACCCUGGGUUGUGUCAAAUUGAGUGUUGUAGUGGAAAGUGCUGCUCUAGUGGAAACCAAAGGGCACUAUAAAUGGCGGGUCUUGUGGUGGCCCACUAAAGUGUGUCUGCCCUGAGUGAGACACACCCUUGGUUUCCUGCUACCUCCCCCUGUUUAAAAGUACUUGGUCAACAGCUGGAGUUCUUAUUCACCCCAAAGUGUGCCGUUGCUUUAUUUGGACUUGUUACGUCCCACGCCGUAGAGUGUUCAACCAUCUGGGGAUGCAGGUUGUACUGUCUGUGAGGCAACAACCUCUAUGGGUAGAAGGCAAUGUAGGGAAUAACUCAGGAAUUUUGGAGCUCUCAUUUUGCUUUAAAAUCGAAAUAACAUUUAUUUAAUAUGUUCAAAAAUACUGGACAAUAUAAGUAUAAAAAAAUGGAAUACUCUUUUAUUUGUCAUCAAUAAAAUUGAAGACUUAACACUGUUAA